RNAcentral lists this ribosomal RNA (614 nucleotides) under uncultured bacterium. Its description in RNAcentral is "bacterial SSU rRNA". The stretch from base 1 to 531 matches the Rfam family "Bacterial small subunit ribosomal RNA", at positions 338 to 873 of the family's 1533-position model. The record is from RNAcentral.
CCUACGGGAGGCAGCAGUAAGGAAUAUUGGUCAAUGGACGAAAGUCUGAACCAGCCAUGCCGCGUGAAGGAUUAAGGCCCUCUGGGUUGUAAACUUCUUUUAUCUGGGACGAAAAAAGGGUAUUCUUACUCACUUGACGGUACCAGAGGAAUAAGCACCGGCUAACUCCGUGCCAGCAGCCGCGGUAAUACGGAGGGUGCAAGCGUUAUCCGGAUUUACUGGGUUUAAAGGGUGCGUAGGUGGGCUUGUAAGUCAGUGGUGAAAUCUCCGGGCUUAACCCGGAAACUGCCAUUGAUACUAUAGGUCUUGAAUUAUCUGGAGGUAAGCGGAAUACGUCAUGUAGCGGUGAAAUGCUUAGAUAUGACAUAGAACACCAAUUGCGAAGGCAGCUUACUACGGAUAUAUUGACACUGAGGCACGAAAGCGUGGGGAUCAAACAGGAUUAGAUACCCUGGUAGUCCACGCCCUAAACGAUGGAUACUCGACAUCAGCGAUACACUGUUGGUGUCUGNGNGAAGANAUAUAUCCACCGNGAGAGAGNGCGAGAAGUAGUAACGUUACAAUAGUUAGUUAGUACGGCGNGAGAGNGCGACGGACGACGACGAGGGAGGAGG